Long non-coding RNA from Oncorhynchus tshawytscha (Chinook salmon), 646 nucleotides. The record is from Ensembl. NCBI's taxonomy places the organism in Eukaryota, Metazoa, Chordata, Actinopteri, Salmoniformes, Salmonidae.
AUAAGAUAUAGUAACAGAAAGAGAGGGAGUGGGUAUAGAUAUAGUAACAGAGAGAGAGGGAGUGGGUAUAGAUAGAAUAUAGUAACAGAAAGAGAGGGAGUGGGUAUAGAUAGAGUAACAGAGAGAAGGAGUGGGUAUAGCUAGAGUAAUAGAGAGAGGGAGUGGGUAUAGAUAUAGUAACAGAGAGAGAGGGAGUGGGUAUCGAUAGAGUAACAGAGAGAGGGAGCGGGUAUAGAUAUAGUAAUAGAGAGAGGGAGUGGGUAUAGAUAUAGUAACAGAGAGAGGGGGAGUGGGUAUAGAUAGAGUUACAGAGAGAAGGAGUGGGUAUAGAUAGAGUAACAGAGAGAGAGGGAGUGGGUAUCGAUAGAGUAACAGAGAGAGGGAGUGGGUAUAGAUAUAGUAAUAGAGAGAGGGAGUGGGUAUAGAUAUAGUAACAGAGAGAGAGGGAGUGGGUAUAGAUAGAGUAAUAGAGAGAGGGAGUGAGUAUAGAUAUAGUAAUAGAGAGAGGGAGUGGGUAUAGAUAUAGUAACAGAGAGAGAGGGAGUGGGUAUAGAUAGAGUAACAGAGAGAAGGAGUGGGUAUAGAUAGAGUAACAGAGAGAGAGGGAGUGGGUAUAGAUAUAGUAACAGAGAGAGAGAGGGAGUGG